UAUGCGGAUUAUACACCAAAAAAAAAACACUCACAAAUGGAUACAAUUAAAGGAAUGUGUUUAGUGACGGCAUCAGAUUCCUAAUUGAUGGAGAAAUGUUUGGUGGCAAGAAAAGCUGCUGACGGUAUCUGGGGAAUAAGCAUCGGCUAACUCUGUGCAGAGCCGCGGUAAUACAGAGGAUGCAAGCGUUAUCCGGGUAAAGCGUCUGUAGGUGGCUUUUUAAGUCCGCCGUCAAAUCCCAGGGCUCAACUCUAGACAGGCGGUGGGAAACUACCAAGCUGGAGUACAGUAGGGGCAGAGGGAAUUUCCGGGUGAGCGAUGAAAGAGAGAAACAAAGAAUAUUACUACUGUGUAAACGAAAAGUUUGAGAGUAAGCAUUACACAACCUCCAAGAUCAUCCCUACCUAUUACUGCUCCUUUGAGUAGUAACGAGGGGUUUUUUGAGAUCAACUCACAUUGGACAUAUCAUAUAGAAUCUUUCAUUCUUAUGAUACUAUAUAGUAUGCAUACAAGAUGUAUUGGGACGAAUCCUUUUUCUUUUAUGAUAAGAAAACGCUCUUAGUUCAGUUCGGAGAACGCGGGUCUCCAAAACCCGAUGUCCUAGGUUCAAAUCCUACAGAGCGUGAUUCGGAUCUUCUUCUAGGA
This 645-nucleotide long non-coding RNA is filed under the name Helianthus annuus (common sunflower). Its description in RNAcentral is "hypothetical non coding rna". The stretch from base 553 to 625 matches the Rfam family "tRNA". The record is from RNAcentral. Lineage: Eukaryota; Viridiplantae; Streptophyta; Magnoliopsida; Asterales; Asteraceae.